GACGAACGCUGGCGGCGUGCUUAACACAUGCAAGUCGAACGAUGAACCCGGAGCUUGCUCUGGGGGAUUAGUGGCGAACGGGUGAGUAACACGUGAGUAACCUGCCCUGGACUCUGGGAUAAGCGUUGGAAACGACGUCUAAUACCGGAUAGGACCUUGGAUCGCAUGAUCUGGGGUGGAAAGUUUUUUCGGUCUGGGAUGGACUCGCGGCCUAUCAGCUUGUUGGUGAGGUAAUGGCUCACCAAGGCGUCGACGGGUAGCCGGCCUGAGAGGGUGACCGGCCACACUGGGACUGAGACACGGCCCAGACUCCUACGGGAGGCAGCAGUGGGGAAUAUUGCACAAUGGGCGAAAGCCUGAUGCAGCAACGCCGCGUGCGGGAUGACGGCCUUCGGGUUGUAAACCGCUUUUAGUAGGGAAGAAGGGCUUCGGCUUGACGGUACCUGCAGAAGAAGGACCGGCUAACUACGUG
This 472-nucleotide ribosomal RNA is filed under the name uncultured bacterium. RNAcentral's name for it is "partial 16S ribosomal RNA". It matches the Rfam family "Bacterial small subunit ribosomal RNA", at positions 28 to 507 of the family's 1533-position model. The record is from RNAcentral.